UACGUAGGCGGCUCGUUAAGUCAGAUGUGAAAGCCCCGGGCUCAACCUGGGAACUGCAUUUGAAACUGGCGAGCUAGAGUAUGGUAGAGGGGGGUAGAAUUUCUGGUGUAGCGGUGAAAUGCGUAGAUAUCAGAAGGAAUACCAGUGGCGAAGGCGGCCCCCUGGCCCAAUACUGACGCUGAGGUACGAAAGCGUGGGUAGCGAACAGGAUUAGAUACCCUGGUAGUCC
Molecule: ribosomal RNA, 229 nt
Filed under: uncultured bacterium
Lineage: Bacteria
Description: partial 16S ribosomal RNA
Rfam family: Bacterial small subunit ribosomal RNA
Source: RNAcentral